Molecule: ribosomal RNA, 2065 nt
Filed under: human gut metagenome
Description: bacterial LSU rRNA
Rfam family: Bacterial large subunit ribosomal RNA
Source: RNAcentral
UUAAGCGACUAAGCGUACACGGUGGAUGCCCUGGCAGUCAGAGGCGAUGAAGGACGUGCUAAUCUGCGAAAAGCGUCGGUAAGGUGAUAUGAACCGUUAUAACCGGCGAUGUCCGAAUGGGGAAACCCAGUGCAAUUCGUUGCACUAUCGUUAACUGAAUACAUAGGUUAACGAGGCGAACCGGGGGAACUGAAACAUCUAAGUACCCCGAGGAAAAGAAAUCAACCGAGAUUCCCCCAGUAGCGGCGAGCGAACGGGGAGCAGCCCGGAGUCUGAAUCAGCUUGUGUGUUAGUGGAAGCGUCUGGAAAGUCGCAGGGUACAGGGUGAUACUCCCGUACACUAAAACACACAGGCUGUGAACUCGAAGAGUAGGGCGGGACACGUGGUAUCCUGUCUGAAUAUGGGGGGACCAUCCUCCAAGGCUAAAUACUCCUGACUGACCGAUAGUGAACCAGUACCGUGAGGGAAAGGCGAAAAGAACCCCGGCGAGGGGAGUGAAAAAGAACCUGAAACCGUGUACGUACAAGCAGUAGGAGCCCCACCACCAAAGCGUUUCGCUUUGCGUGGUGCGCAAAAUGCGUAACGACAGCAUGAUGGACGGUUAACGGAGCGUCAGCGACGUUCAACGUCAAAAAUCAGGCAGUGGAGCGUUUUGGGGUGGGGUGACUGCGUACCUUUUGUAUAAUGGGUCAGCGACUUAUAUUCUGUAGCAAGGUUAACCGUAUAGGGGAGCCGCAGGGAAACCGAGUCUUAACUGGGCGUUAAGUUGCAGGGUAUAGACCCGAAACCCGGUGAUCUAGCCAUGGGCAGGUUGAAGGUUGGGUAACACUAACUGGAGGACCGAACCGACUAAUGUUGAAAAAUUAGCGGAUGACUUGUGGCUGGGGGUGAAAGGCCAAUCAAACCGGGAGAUAGCUGGUUCUCCCCGAAAGCUAUUUAGGUAGCGCCUCGUGAAUUCAUCUUCGGGGGUAGAGCACUGUUUCGGCUAGGGGGUCAUCCCGACUUACCAACCCGAUGCAAACUACGAAUACCGAAGAAUGUUAUCACGGGAGACACACGGCGGGUGCUAACGUCCGUCGUGAAGAGGGAAACAACCCAGACCGCCAGCUAAGGUCCCAAAGUCAUGGUUAAGUGGGAAACGAUGUGGGAAGGCCCAGACAGCCAGGAUGUUGGCUUAGAAGCAGCCAUCAUUUAAAGAAAGCGUAAUAGCUCACUGGUCGAGUCGGCCUGCGCGGAAGAUGUAACGGGGCUAAACCAUGCACCGAAGCUGCGGCAGCGACACUAUGUGUUGUUGGGUAGGGGAGCGUUCUGUAAGCCGUUGAAGGUGGCCUGUGAGGGUUGCUGGAGGUAUCAGAAGUGCGAAUGCUGACAUAAGUAACGAUAAUGCGGGUGAAAAACCCGCACGCCGGAAGACCAAGGGUUCCUGUCCAACGUUAAUCGGGGCAGGGUGAGUCGACCCCUAAGGCGAGGCCGAAAGGCGUAGUCGAUGGGAAACAGGUUAAUAUUCCUGUACUUGGUGUUACUGCGAAGGGGGGACGGAGAAGGCUAUGUUGGCCGGGCGACGGUUGUCCCGGUUUAAGCAUGUAGGCGGAUGUUCCAGGUAAAUCCGGAGCGUCACUAACGCUGAGGUGUGAUGACGAGGCACUACGGUGCUGAAGUGACAAAUGCCCUGCUUCCAGGAAAAGCCUCUAAGCAUCAGGUAACAUCAAAUCGUACCCCAAACCGACACAGGUGGUCAGGUAGAGAAUACCAAGGCGCUUGAGAGAACUCGGGUGAAGGAACUAGGCAAAAUGGUGCCGUAACUUCGGGAGAAGGCACGCUGAUGGUAGGUGAAGUGACUUGCUCAUGGAGCUGAAAUCAGUCGAAGAUACCAGCUGGCUGCAACUGUUUAUUAAAAACACAGCACUGUGCAAACACGAAAGUGGACGUAUACGGUGUGACGCCUGCCCGGUGCCGGAAGGUUAAUUGAUGGGGUUAUCCUCGCGGAGAAGCUCUUGAUCGAAGCCCCGGUAAACGGCGGCCGUAACUAUAACGGUCCUAAGGUAGCGAAAUUCCUUGUCGGGU